RNAcentral lists this ribosomal RNA (228 nucleotides) under uncultured bacterium. Its description in RNAcentral is "partial 16S ribosomal RNA". It matches the Rfam family "Bacterial small subunit ribosomal RNA", at positions 118 to 345 of the family's 1533-position model. The record is from RNAcentral.
UGGGCAACCUGCCCCAGACUCUGGGAUAACUCCGGGAAACCGGGACUAAUACCGGAUACUCCGAUCGGACGACAUCGUCUGACCGGGAAAGCUCCGACGGUCUGGGAUGGGCCCGCGGCCUAUCAGCUUGUUGGCGAGGUAACGGCUCACCAAGGCGACGACGAGUAGCUGGUCUGAGAGGAUGGCCAGCCACAUUGGGACUGAGACACGGCCCAGACUCCGUACGGG